Molecule: ribosomal RNA, 305 nt
Filed under: uncultured bacterium
Lineage: Bacteria
Description: bacterial SSU rRNA
Rfam family: Bacterial small subunit ribosomal RNA
Source: RNAcentral
GCCUACGGGGCGCAGCAGUGAGGAAUAUUGGUCAAUGGUCGGGAGACUGAACCAGCCAAGCCGCGUGAGGGAUGAAGGUACAGAGUAUCGUAAACCUCUUUUGUCAGGGAACAAAGGCGGGGACUAGUCCCCGGAUGAGGGUACCUGAAGAAAAAGCAUCGGCUAACUCCGUGCCAGCAGCCGCGGUAAUACGGAGGAUGCGAGCGUUAUCCGGAUUUAUUGGGUUUAAAGGGUGCGCAGGCGGCCUGUUAAGUCAGCGGUAAAAGCCCGGGGCUCAACCCGGGCGAGCCGUUGAAACUGGCGGG